This 253-nucleotide ribosomal RNA is filed under the name uncultured bacterium. Its description in RNAcentral is "partial 16S ribosomal RNA". It matches the Rfam family "Bacterial small subunit ribosomal RNA", at positions 524 to 776 of the family's 1533-position model. The record is from RNAcentral.
UACGUAGGGGGCAAGCGUUAUCCGGAAUUACUGGGUGUAAAGGGAGCGUAGACGGUAAUGUAAGUCUGGAGUGAAAGGCGGGGGCCCAACCCCCGGACUGCUUUGGAAACUAUGUUACUAGAGUGCAGGAGAGGUAAGCGGAAUUCCUAGUGUAGCGGUGAAAUGCGUAGAUAUCAGGAGGAACACCAGUGGCGAAGGCGGCUUACUGGACUGUAACUGACGUUGAGGCUCGAAAGCGUGGGGAGCAAACAGG